CUCGUAGGCGGUUUGUCGCGUCUGCUGUGAAAUCCGGAGGCUCAACCUCCGGCCUGCAGUGGGUACGGGCAGACUAGAGUGCGGCAGGGGAGAUUGGAAUUCCUGGUGUAGCGGUGGAAUGCGCAGAUAUCAGGAGGAACACCAAUGGCGAAGGCAGAUCUCUGGGCCGUAACUGACGCUGAGGAGCGAAAGCAUGGGGAGCGAACA
Molecule: ribosomal RNA, 207 nt
Filed under: uncultured bacterium
Lineage: Bacteria
Description: partial 16S ribosomal RNA
Rfam family: Bacterial small subunit ribosomal RNA
Source: RNAcentral